RNAcentral lists this ribosomal RNA (508 nucleotides) under uncultured bacterium. Its description in RNAcentral is "partial 16S ribosomal RNA". It matches the Rfam family "Bacterial small subunit ribosomal RNA", at positions 29 to 523 of the family's 1533-position model. The record is from RNAcentral.
AGUGAACGCUGGCGGUAGGCCUAACACAUGCAAGUCGAACGGCAGCACAGUAAGAGCUUGCUCUUACGGGUGGCGAGUGGCGGACGGGUGAGGAAUACAUCGGAAUCUACUUUUUCGUGGGGGAUAACGUAGGGAAACUUACGCUAAUACCGCAUACGACCUACGGGUGAAAGCAGGUGAUCUUCGGACCUUGCGCGAUUGAAUGAGCCGAUGUCGGAUUAGCUAGUUGGCGGGGUAAAGGCCCACCAAGGCGACGAUCCGUAGCUGGUCUGGGCGGAUGAUCGGCCCCGCUGGAACUGGGAAACGGACCAGACUCCUACGGGAGUCGGAAGUGGGGAAUCUUGGACAAUGGGCGCAAGCCUGAUCCAGCCAUACCGCGUGGGUUAAGAAGGCCUUCGGGUUGUAAAGCCCUUUUGUUGGGAAAGAAAUCCCGCUGGUUAAUACCCGGUUGGGAUGACGGUACCCAAAGAAUAAGCACCGGCUAACUUCGUGCCAGCCGCCGCAGUAA